UACGUAGGGGGCAAGCGUUAUCCGGAUUUACUGGGUGUAAAGGGAGCGUAGACGGCAGCGCAAGUCUGGAGUGAAAUGCCGGGGCUCAACCCCGGAACUGCUUUGGAAACUGUGCAGCUAGAGUGCGGGAGAGGUAAGCGGAAUUCCUAGUGUAGCGGUGAAAUGCGUAGAUAUUAGGAGGAACACCAGUGGCGAAGGCGACUUACUGGACCGUAACUGACGUUGAGGCUCGAAAGCGUGGGGAGCAAACAGG
This 253-nucleotide ribosomal RNA is filed under the name uncultured bacterium. RNAcentral describes it as "partial 16S ribosomal RNA". It matches the Rfam family "Bacterial small subunit ribosomal RNA", at positions 524 to 776 of the family's 1533-position model. The record is from RNAcentral.